RNAcentral lists this ribosomal RNA (785 nucleotides) under uncultured bacterium. Its description in RNAcentral is "bacterial SSU rRNA". It matches the Rfam family "Bacterial small subunit ribosomal RNA", at positions 8 to 798 of the family's 1533-position model. The record is from RNAcentral.
AGAGUUUGAUCAUGGCUCAGGACGAACGCUGGCGGCGUGCUUAACACAUGCAAGUCGAACGGUAAGGCCCUUCGGGGUACACGAGUGGCGAACAGGUGAGUAACACGUGGGUAAUCUGCCCUGCACAUCGGGAUAAGCCUGGGAAACUGGGUCUAAUACCGAAUAGGACCACAGGACACAUGUCCUGUGGUGGAAAGCUUUUGCGGUGUGGGAUGGGCCCGCGGCCUAUCAGCUUGUUGGUGGGGUGAUGGCCUACCAAGGCGACGACGGGUAGCCGGCCUGAGAGGGUGUCCGGCCACACUGGGACUGAGAUACGGCCCAGACUCCUACGGGAGGCAGCAGUGGGGAAUAUUGCACAAUGGGCGAAAGCCUGAUGCAGCGACGCCGCGUGGGGGAUGACGGCCUUCGGGUUGUAAACCUCUUUCACCAUCGACGAAGGUCCGGGUUUUCUCGGGCUGACGGUAGGUGGAGAAGAAGCACCGGCCAACUACGUGCCAGCAGCCGCGGUAAUACGUAGGGUGCGAGCGUUGUCCGGAAUUACUGGGCGUAAAGAGCUCGUAGGUGGUUUGUCGCGUUGUUCGUGAAAUCUCACGGCUUAACUGUGAGCGUGCGGGCGAUACGGGCAGACUUGAGUACUGCAGGGGAGACUGGAAUUCCUGGUGUAGCGGUGGAAUGCGCAGAUAUCAGGAGGAACACCGGUGGCGAAGGCGGGUCUCUGGGCAGUAACUGACGCUGAGGAGCGAAAGCGUGGGGAGCGAACAGGAUUAGAUACCCUGGUAGUCCAA